Molecule: transfer RNA, 76 nt
Filed under: Podarcis lilfordi (Lilford's wall lizard)
Lineage: Eukaryota; Metazoa; Chordata; Lepidosauria; Squamata; Lacertidae
Description: tRNA.Glu
Source: RNAcentral
UGGGAUAGCUCAGUCCGUAGAGCAUGAGACUUUCUUAAUCUCAGGGUCGUGGGUUCAAGCACCGCAUUGGGCAAAA